CAGUCGCCACGGUAAUACGAAGGGGGCUAGCGUUGUUCUGAUUUACUGGGCGUAAAGGGUGCGUAGGCGGACUGAUAAGUCAGGGGUGAAAUCCCAAGGCUCAACCUUGGAACUGCCUUUGAUACUGUUAGUCUUGAGUUCGAGAGAGGUGAGUGGAACUGCGAGUGUAGAGGUGAAAUUCGUAGAUAUUCGCAAGAACACCAGUGGCGAAGGCGGCGACCUGGUCUUUUACUGACGCUGAGGCGCGAAAGCGUGGGGAGCAAACAGGAUUAGAUACCCGCGUAGUCCCUGUCUCUUAUAC
RNAcentral lists this ribosomal RNA (301 nucleotides) under uncultured bacterium. Its description in RNAcentral is "partial 16S ribosomal RNA". It matches the Rfam family "Bacterial small subunit ribosomal RNA", at positions 509 to 807 of the family's 1533-position model. The record is from RNAcentral.